UUCAGCAUUGUGCCUGUAAUGAAUAAAAGCAAGCAGCUCCAGCUUUUCAGGGCUGCUAUCUGGCCACUAGAGCCCAGAGUCAUCUGGCUGCUCUUACACUGCAUACCUGUGUCUGAGUACUCAUUUCAUCUGUUGGCCUGGGUCUGUGGGACAGACUCGGCAGGUGGUGACCCAUGUGAAGAACACUGCCAUGGAUCCCGAUGGAAGCCUCGAAAAUGAAAGCGAAGUGACUACGCAGUAAGUAAUUGAUGCCCACUGGAGAUUUUCAAGUUCAAGGGGAGUUUUAAGCUAGGGUUUCACCAUGGGACAACAGUUAUUGGCCCGAAAGCAACAGUAUAUAAAAGUAUUCAAACAGCUGCUUCAAGCUAGCAAAGUGUACAUCUCAGAGGCCCAAUUAAGGGCCCAAUGCAAACUGUUGUUUUCCAUAACCCAGGGUUCCUGGAAGAAGACACGCUUCUAGAGGUCUAGGAACAAGUAGGAAGAAAUGUUAAACGACAUCAUGUGCAAGGGCAACAUGUCCUAGUAACAUCUUUAACAUUAUGGGCCUUAGUUAGGGCUGCUUUGGCACUGUCUACACAGAAGAGCUUAAAAAGAGAAGGGAGCAAGAACCAUCAUCCACCCUACUGCCUCCUCCUCCUCCCUCAGCCUCACCGUUACCAGGUAAAGGUGCCACAGAGGAGACACAGAUUUUCCCUGAGCCCCCUCCCCAGUUAAAUUGGAAAAAAGACAAGGGAUACACUACAGUUAUGGGACCCUGUUUUAGUCAAACAGCAUUAGAAGGGGAGUUCUUGGCCUGCCUGGUGAUGCAAGAUCAACAAGAAAAUUGGAUAUAUGAACCCAUUAUUUUCAACUUAUAAACAAGAAAAAACAUUAGAGAAACAGAGCUGCUAACCCAUUUACAAAAGGAUUAACUGAGGCCAUACCAGACAACUUCCAUAUGACCCCAUGGGACUGGUCAGUGCUAGCUAAAACAACUCUCGUGGCCAGUCAAUACUUCCUCUGGAGGGCAGAAUAUGAUGACUUGUGCGAACAACAAGCCAACCAGAAUCAACUGGCCAGGCAAAACAUAGCUGCUGCUAUGCUCCAGGGGAGGGGUCCCUAUAUCGAUGUAUAACAGCAAUUAAAUUUUAUCCCCCAAGCCUAUGUACAAAUGUCCUUAUGUGCUCACAGGGCUUGUGCCAGAUCCCCAAAGCAGGAGUUUAACAGGGCUUUUUUGUAAAUGGUCGAUAAGGGCUUUGGGAGCCAUUUGUUGAAUUUACCAAUAGGUUAACCCAGGCAAUUAAGAGACAAAUUAGUCAUGCCCAGGCCACUGUUAUCUUACUGUUGUAAUUGGCUUAUGAAAAUGCUACAGUACACUAUCAGCAGGCAACGCAGGCAAUCAGAGAAAGGCAGCUACAGUCGAGAAACUUACAUGAGCACGUCAGCUGGUAGGGACUGAAACACACAAAGCCAGAAUAUUGGCUAUGGCAUUAAAGCCUCCAAAAAUAAAAAGGGAAAAACCCAAAUUGUUUUCUAUGCAGAGAGCCAGGUCAUAUGAAGCAGGAAUGCCCAAAUAGUAAAGACCAAAGGAACUCAGGAAAAGAACACCCCUCUAUCUGCCCUCAGUGUAUAAAGAAAAAUUGAGGAAAUAGAGCAAGCUAUUUCUCAGAAGCAAGUAGAUUGCACAGACCCACAAUAUUCAGUCCAAUUAUCUGUAUUACCUACUAAACAUUCCCCAACAGGAUUAAUAGGACAGAUGGCCCCAGAGCUACACUUACCUAAUCAGUUAUGGCAAACAGAUAUUACCCACAGCCCUGAAUUUGGAAAACUAAGAUAUGUACAUGUAUCCAUUGAUACCAAUUCUCACCUAAUUAGCACUCAUGCUCUUUCUAGACAGUCUGCCUGAUAUGGUAUUAGACAUUUUCUCUUAACCUUUGCAUUUAUGGGGCAGCCCACAAAGAUUAAACCUGGUAAUGGUCCAGCUUACGCCAACUCACAAUUUCAACAAUUUUGUCACACAUGGAAUGGCCAAAAUUCCAGGGGUAUACCAUAUAACCCCCAAGGCCAUAGCAGAACGUAUCCACUCCACCCUUAAAAAUAUGUUCAGAAAGGGCUGGGCACGGUGGCUCAAGCCUGUAAUCCCAGCACUUUGGGAGGCCGAGGCGGGUGGAUCACGAGGUCAAGAGAUCGAGACCAUCCUGGUCAACAUGGUGAAACCCUGUCUCUACUAAAAAUACAAAAAAUUAGCUGGGCAUGGUGGCACAUGCCUGUAAUCCCAGCUACUUGGGAGAAUGAGGCAGGAGAAUUGCCUGAACCCAGGAGGUGGAGGUUCUGGGGAGCCGCGAUCGUGCCAUUGCACUCCAGCCUGGGUAACAGGAGCAAAACUCCAUCUCAAAAAAAAAAAAAAGAAAAUGUUCAGAAAACAAAAAAUGGGGAAUAUGAGAAAGGACCCUGCAACACUAUUAGCACAAGGCUAAUUUAACCCUAAUUUCUUAAACUUAGAUGAUAAAUUUCAAUCAGCUCUAGAAAAGCAACUGGAAAAAUCACUCAAGAUACAAAACCUUCAGUUUUAUGGAAAGAUAUAAAUAGUAAUAUAUGGUGUGAUCCAAAUGAUUUGCUAACAUGGGGAAGAGGUUAUGCUUGUGUUCACACCCUCUCAGGUCCUCUUUGGAUUCUAGCACAACUGCAUCAAACCUCAUCAUGGUGUGGCUAGGACCCAACCUAGUACCAGAAAUGAAGAAAAUGGCCCGUAGGACCUGCAGCCCUGAACGAUGUGACUUCCUCAAAUGACACAGGCUCCAGAUAUUACCUGGGGGAUGCUGAAGAAGACAACUCAGGAGGCUGGGAUGCAAAGCUGGAACAUGAGUUGGAAUGGCUACACCAACCAAACUGGUCACUGUGGAUAUCUGCACACUUCAAUCAACAAAACCUGAUGCAAAAAUAAAUAAAUAAAAACAAAAAAGGGGAAGAUGUGGGAGAUCGGUCAGAGUGGUGGGAAAAACUACAAGGAAAGAGAGCAAACCUUCUGGAAGGUAGGAAGAUUCUGCAGAUCCCUGCGGGAGAAUAGCUGAAGGCAGCUGUUCUAUAACCAUUGCAUUUAUGGGCAGCCCACAAAGAUUAAAAAUGAUAAUGGUCCAGCUUACACCAGCUUCUGAUUUCAACAAUUCUGUCACACAUGGAAUGUCCAGCAUUCCAUGUCCAACAUUCCCUGAGGCAGAGGGCGAGGAGUAGGUAUAAGGGAGUAUGGCAGAAUUUAUCUAAAAACAGACUUGUUUACUUAUGUUGACCAGGAACUGACCUUUGAUCAUCCACACACAUAACUUUCCCUGAAAGGGGAACAAUAAAUGUUAAUUACCUACAGGUUGUAUUGGCUCCAGGUUUUCUGCAUUGUACCUGCACUGAAUAAAAGCAAUGAGCUCCAGCUUCACCAGGUUGCUCUCUAGUCACUAGAACCAGUCAGUCACCUAGCUGUUCUUACACUGCAUACCUGUGUUUGAGUACUCAUUUCAUCUGUUAGCCAGGGUCUUUGAAACAGACCUUGCAACACUUCUACAACCAGCUGAUCUUUGACAAACCUUCCAAAAGCAAGCAAUGGGGAAAGGAUUCCCUAGCUAAUAAAUGGUGUUGGGUAAACUAGCUGGCCACAUGCAGAAAACUGAAACUGGAUCCCUUCCUCACAACUUAUACAAAAAUUAACUCAAGAUGAAUUAAAGACUUAAAUCUAAGACCUAAAACCAUAAAAACCAUAGAAGAAAACCUAGGCAAUACCAUUCAGGACAUAGGCAUGGGCAGGCAUUAUGACUAAAACACCAAAAACAAGUUGCAACAAAAACCAAAACUGAUAAAUAUGAUCUAAUUAAACUAAAGAGCUUCUGCACAAGAAAAGAAACUAUCAUCAGAGUGAAAAGACAUCCUACAGAAUGGAAGAAAAUUUCUGCAAUCUACCCAUCAGACAAAGGGCUAAUAUCCAAAAUCUACAAAGAACUUAAACAAAUUUACAAGAAAAAAAACAAACCACAAAAACAACCACACCAAAAAGUAGGCGAGGAAUAUGAACAGACACUUCUCAAAAGAAGACAUUUAUGUGGCCAACAAAUAUAUGAAAAAAAAAUCUCAUCACUGGUCACUAGAGAAAUGUAAAUCAAAACCACAAUGAGAUACCAUCUCAUGCCAGUUAGAAUGGCAAUCCUUAACAAGUCAGGAAACAACAGAUUCUGGAGAAAUAGAAAUGCUUUGACUCUGCUGGUAGAAGUGUAAAUUAGUUCAACCAUUGUGGAAGGCAGUGUGGUGAUUACUCAAGAACAUAGAACUAGAAAUACCAUUUGACCCAGCAAUCCCAUUACCAGGUAUAUACCCAAAGGAUUAUAAAUGAUUCUGUUAUAAAGACACAUGCACACAUGUUUACUGUGGCUCUAUUCACAAUAGCAAAGACUUGGAACCAACCCAAAUGCCCAUCAAUGACAGACUGGAUAAAGAAAAUGUGGGACAUAUACACCAUGGAAUACUAUGUGACCACAUAAAAGGAUGAGAUAAUGUCCUUUGCAGGGACAUGGAUGAAUCUGGAUACCAUCAUUCUCAGCAGACUGACACAAUUAAAGAAAACCAAACACCUCACGUUCUCACUCAUAAGUGGGAGUUGAACAAUGAGGACACAUGGGCACAGGGAGGGGAACAUCACAUACCGGGGCCUGUUGGGGGAUGAAGGAUUAGGUGAGGGAUAACAUUAGGAGAAAUACCUAAUGUAGGUGACUGCCUGAUGGAUACAGCAAAUCACCAUGGCACAUGUAUACCUAUGUAAGAAAACUGCACGUUCUGCACAUGUAUCCCAGAACUUAAAGUAUAAUUUUAAAAAAAGACUUCCUAAAAAAAAGGAUAUGUAAAGUAUUUUUUUUAAAGCCAGUGUUUCUAAAAACAAAACCAAAAAAAAUCACAUACUUGAAAGUUUCAAAUAUGCCUAUCAAGUUGUUUAUAUCUCUUCUCCGCACUAUCCCGUUGUAAUUUACACACUUGUGCAAGUUAAAGGAUGAAAAGGAGGAGAAUGCAUAUCUCAGAGAGGAGGAGCUGCAUGAGAAGACGGACCUGGGAAAUCACUGGCAUGGGCCUGCCCUCUUUGAGGCAUUUCCAUCCCUCUUUACGGUAAUAGAGGGCUUUGUGAAUUCUCAAACACUAUCUCUAGCAGUGGUACCAUAAAAACUUUUUAUCAACAGUAAAUGUCUAUCAAGUUUUAGCCUUGAUAGCUACACACAGUUUACUUAUCAUCUUUGUUUCACCACGGUCAUCUCUUAUACUCCAGUUGUCUCUACAAGCAUAUGUUUGAUCCUUGUGAAAUACAAAAUGAAGAGUUUGCUCGAUCAUUAAAAUAAUUUUCGUUAGUGACUUCCCUGUUUAAAAAGGCAGUUGUUCCUGAAUGUGCUGAUAUUAUGCAAUCUCCACAAUAUGGUAUUUAAUGAAAAAAGACAUAAUAAUCUAUUGUAUAUGCCCUCAUGUGCAUACAAAUGGGGUAUAUGUGUAUCUAUGUAUACACAUUUGGAUAUCUAUCUUCUUGGCCACACACAGAUUAUCUUUUUGAAGGAUUCAGGAGAAAUUGAUGGUGAUCACCUUUGAGUAAGGCUUAAAGCUCUGAGAAUGAGGUUCAUUUUUCCAACAUGCCAUUUAUUCUAUUUGAAUUUGUGACAAUAUAAAUGAAUUAUUUUCCCAUUAAUAAAAAGGUAGUUAAGAAUAAAA
Non-coding RNA from Callithrix jacchus (white-tufted-ear marmoset), 5703 nucleotides. The record is from RefSeq and is a predicted model, not a curated record. NCBI's taxonomy places the organism in Eukaryota, Metazoa, Chordata, Mammalia, Primates, Cebidae.